RNAcentral lists this ribosomal RNA (274 nucleotides) under uncultured bacterium. Its description in RNAcentral is "partial 16S ribosomal RNA". It matches the Rfam family "Archaeal small subunit ribosomal RNA", at positions 473 to 747 of the family's 1478-position model. The record is from RNAcentral.
AAACCAGCACCUCAAGUGGUCAGGAUGAUUAUUGGGCCUAAAGCAUCCGUAGCCUGCUUUGUAAGUUUUCGGUUAAAUCUGUACGCUCAACGUACAGGCUGCUGGGAAUACUGCAGAGCUAGGGAGUGGGAGAAGUAGACGGUACUCGGGAGGAAGUGGUAAAAUGCUUUGAUCUCUCGAUGACCACCUGUGGCGAAGGCGGUCUACCAGAACACGUCCGACGGUGAGGGAUGAAAGCUGGGGGAGCAAACCGGAUUAGAAACCCGAGUAGUCC